Molecule: non-coding RNA, 26 nt
Filed under: Homo sapiens (human)
Lineage: Eukaryota; Metazoa; Chordata; Mammalia; Primates; Hominidae
Source: RNAcentral
UUGAACAGAGGAGUGCCUUGAUUGAU